Triticum urartu is the source of this 995-nucleotide non-coding RNA. Lineage: Eukaryota; Viridiplantae; Streptophyta; Magnoliopsida; Poales; Poaceae. The record is from RefSeq and is a predicted model, not a curated record.
UUAUUAUCGGAGAACAAGACCAGCUUGGUGUGCCCUGUAGUUUUCGCUCAGAAAAGUGCAUUCCAUGAUAGAUACAUGCAAAAAACUCUUACUGGAAACAAAUCCAGCAUUUGUUUUUGCAGAGACAUUAUCCAUAUCCCCAAAUCCAAUUAAAGUUUUUGAAUCAAGGAAAAAAAUCCAACUAUAAUAGCGUGCACUUAUUUUUCUCCUCCAAUUUCAACCCUAUCCUUUUCCCUGCGGAUAUGGUUUGUGGUUCUGAUCAGCACUAAAAAGUCAAUAGUGAUCGUUUUUAGUGGGUUUGUAUGUCUUGGUGGCAUUUUUCAGGCAGCACCAUCCAGCUGUAGUGCUGUACGUGAUGAAGAGUGGUCAUUGUAAACCAUGUACCUCCACUCGUGGCGGCAAUCAGGAGUUUUCCUCAAGGAGCGAAUUCUGCAAUCUGUACUCGUGGGAGUAUGGUGUUCGUAUCAGGAAAGUGUCACCAAAACGUCCCAGAGAUUGUUUGCAGUUGUGCAGGCAAGCCGGACAGGGAGAACAGUUCAUCCGCUAGAACAAAGUGCCCUGCGAUGCUAAGCCUGUUAAGGACGGAAGAUGGAGGCUGGUAUGGUAUUUAUGUGCGCACAGGGUGUUGCAUAACCAUGAAUGCCUCGGAACUUGUAGUGCACGUGGGCUUCCUAAUCUUGAAGUCUGAAGUGCCUUCACGACCGGAGCAAGCGCCACCCGGACCAGACUGGCAUUGCACUUGAGAUGGUGUUGUGAUGACCUCCUGAAGUAUGCAGCAGCAUCUCUCAUGCACAUCCUCUCUGUUGGUGCAUGAUUGCUGCAUGAUAGCGCAACCUUCAUGACAGACAAUAUGGCAUUGCUGCCAUGUUCCAUUGUGUUGCUUCCAUCCUGCAGACUAGUCAGAUUGGCUUCUUCAAUGGAAAGUAGUACUGGAUCAACAAUCUGCAUUAGCAUCCCUGUAAAUGCAUUCUCGGCAUGCUUAUGCAAGGUUAACC